RNAcentral lists this transfer RNA (74 nucleotides) under Oxytricha trifallax. RNAcentral's name for it is "tRNA-Lys". It matches the Rfam family "tRNA". Rfam says of the family: Transfer RNA (tRNA) molecules are approximately 80 nucleotides in length. Their secondary structure includes four short double-helical elements and three loops (D, anti-codon, and T loops). Lineage: Eukaryota; Ciliophora; Spirotrichea; Sporadotrichida; Oxytrichidae. The record is from RNAcentral.
GGGAGUGUGGCUCAAUUGGUUAGAGCAACGGACUUUUAAUCCGUGGGUUAUGAGUUCGAGUCUCAUCACUCUCA